Long non-coding RNA from Balaenoptera musculus (blue whale), 1092 nucleotides. RefSeq lists it as uncharacterized. The transcript is spliced from 3 exons. The record is from RefSeq and is a predicted model, not a curated record. Lineage: Eukaryota; Metazoa; Chordata; Mammalia; Artiodactyla; Balaenopteridae.
UCAGCACUUCCACUCAGCACUCAGUGAUGGACGGGGUACGUGGGUAGUUCUUUUUUUGGAUGAAUGUUGGCAACAUGACUCUGGCAUAAUUACUACCCAUACUUUCCUCAAGUCAAGGUCUUGCUCUUAUACAUGCAGACACAGGAGCUGGUCAAGAAAAGCUGCACUGGGUUUUCUGGUUUUGGGCAGAAUCUCCAGAUAGAGAGGAAAUAUUCUUAAAUGGUGUGACCCCACCCAGAAAGCCUGCCCUUUUCCUCCAUGUGAAUUUGCCUCCAGCCUGUCUUCCUCAGGGGUCGCCCUUGGACACCAAGCCUGAAGCUGGCAUCCGAAAAGGGAAAUUCCCAGCCAUGGGCCCUGGGGCCAGAUUUCCAAGACUCAGAACUGCUCAGUUCCUGUUUUGUUGGAUGCAGAUGAGGUUGCCCAGCUGAGGAGAGACAAGUCCUCAGUUUUUCUGGUGGCAGCGGCUCUCAUCUCGGACUAAAUCCAGUUUUCUGCAUGGGGUGCUGAAGGAAGAGGCCUCUAUUCGAUAUCUGAAGCAAAAAGCUGGAUUCAUCGUUUGCAAGGCAGUAAACACGGCAGACUGCGGAUCUCCUGUAGAGUAUUUGGGAAGUGUGGGGCUGGGGAUUAGUAGACUCUUAACAGUGGGAGUAUUCAGGCAUUAAGCGACCUUCAGCAGAGGCAUCUUGGUCACUGGAGCAAGGCUGUUGCUGAUUGGCUGGCCCUCAGAAGCACAUAUACUGACCAGAGGAAGCUGUCCUUGAUGAAUUGGGACAGCCUGAAAACCUGUUCUCCUGGUUACUUGUUCCAGUGGCCAAAGAACAGUGAGUCUUUUCUUGAUCGGGAGGAUAGGAAAGAUUCUCGGUAGGAUCCCUUUUUUAUUUAAAUGUCAAAUAAUCCAGCUCAGAGAUUUUCAAACUUUAACAUGAAUCACAUCAGAUCACCCGGAGGGCUUGUUAGAGCAGACUAUUGGACCCCUCUCCUGCAGAGUUUCUGGUUAGGUAGGUCUGGGAAGGGAGCCAAGAAUCUGCACUUCUAAUGAGUUCCCAGGUGAUGCAGAUGCUCCUGGUCCAGGGACCACACUUUGAGAACUAC